RNAcentral lists this unclassified non-coding RNA (334 nucleotides) under soil metagenome. Its description in RNAcentral is "partial contains 5.8S ribosomal RNA, internal transcribed spacer 2, and large subunit ribosomal RNA". The stretch from base 1 to 120 matches the Rfam family "5.8S ribosomal RNA", at positions 35 to 154 of the family's 154-position model. The record is from RNAcentral.
GAUGAAGAACGUAGUGAAAUGCGAUAAGUAAUGUGAAUUGCAGAAUUCAGUGAAUCAUCGAAUCUUUGAACGCACAUUGCGCCCGCCAGUAUUCUGGCGAGCAUGCCUGUUCGAGCGUCAUUUCAACCAUCAAGCCCCAGGCUUGUGUUGGAGCCCUGCGGCUGCCGCAGCCUCCCAAAACCAGUGGCGGGCUCGCUAUCACACCGAGUGCAGUAGUUUACUCUUCGCUCAGGGCGUGUGGCGGGUGCUAGCCGUGAAACCCACAACUUCUCAAGGUUGACCUCGGAUCAGGUAGGAAUACCCGCUGAACUUAAGCAUAUCAAUAAGCGGAGGA